CCCCAUAGGAGAUAGCAGGCAUCCUGUACCUUGUGUCAUUUUCCACAAUGGUGUUGAGCUGGCACAUUAGCAAGCUUGUUCGUCCAGAUGAAGUGGAAUCGUGGCUCCAACUUUGAACAACACAGCUAAAGUCAGAAGAAGCAGGGUCCAGGAAGCAUGGUAGAAGAUAUGAAAUUACUAUAAACCUUCAUUUUGAAUGGCUUCAGGUUUGAGGUGGAUUCUUUACUACUGAGCCACCAAGGAAGACUUUGGGUUGUGGAAGAGGAUUCUGAAGACACUGCUCUGGAUGUCCCGAAAACAGCCCUUCCCAAUUGUGCUCUGCACUCAUUCAGAUGUUUCCACGACCCCAGUGUUUGGACUCUUAGGACUAAUUCUGCAUGAAGUAAGAACUUCUCAUGAACUUUGACUUCCCUGCUGGCUCAGACAACAAAGAAUCUGCCCACAAAGAAGGAGACCCAGGUUCAAUCCCUGGGUCAGAAAUAUCCCCUGGAGAAGGAAAUGGCAACCCACUCCAGUAUUCUUGCCUGGGAAAUCCCAUGGACAGAGGAGCCUGGUGGGCUACAGUC
Bos taurus (domestic cattle) is the source of this 566-nucleotide long non-coding RNA. NCBI's taxonomy places the organism in Eukaryota, Metazoa, Chordata, Mammalia, Artiodactyla, Bovidae. The record is from Ensembl.